Molecule: ribosomal RNA, 513 nt
Filed under: Neogyptis julii
Lineage: Eukaryota; Metazoa; Annelida; Polychaeta; Phyllodocida; Hesionidae
Description: partial 16S ribosomal RNA
Rfam family: Bacterial large subunit ribosomal RNA
Source: RNAcentral
UGCCUUUAGAUUAACUAAUUAAAGGUAUAUCCUGCCCGGUGAAUUACGGUUUAAACGGCCGCGGUAUCCUGACCGUGCAAAGGUAGCAUAAUCACUUGCCUUUUAAUUGGAGGCUUGUAUGAAUGGAUUAACGAGGGGCUAAUUGUCUCAUCUAUAAACAUAAAAUUUAGUAUUUGGGUGAAGAAACUCAAAUUACAUUAAAAGACAAGAAGACCCUAUCGAGUUUUAUUUUAUCUUCUAAAUUUUAAAAAUUAUAAUAUUUUAAAAAUAAGAGGGUUAAUUUGGUUGGGGCGACUGGGGAAUUAAAAAAACUUCCCCCAUAAAAAGAGUAUAAUUCGUUGAAAGAUCCAUAAUAAUGAUCUAAAGAAAAACACUACCGUAGGGAUAACAGGCUAAUUUCUUUAGAGAGUUCAUAUUGACAAAGAAGAUUGGCACCUCGAUGUUGGCUUAGAAUAUCCUUUGUAUGCAGCAGUACAAAAGGGUUGGUUUGUUCAACCAUAAAAAUUCUACGUG